RNAcentral lists this unclassified non-coding RNA (985 nucleotides) under Hevea brasiliensis (rubber tree). The record is from RNAcentral. Lineage: Eukaryota; Viridiplantae; Streptophyta; Magnoliopsida; Malpighiales; Euphorbiaceae.
CAAAAAUCUACUAAGAUGGGUCCCUUCUUCAAUAGUUCUUAGAGAUUUGAAAGAAAAGGUGGAAAGGAAAGGGAGAAGGCAGUCUAUUGUGGGUGUUCCUCCACGGGCAUAUCAUAUUUUAGAUCAUCAAAUUCAGGAAAUGCACAUGCGAAGAGUGAUGCUGACUUCUGUCUCUUGUGCCUCUUUAGCUUAACACCAAAUAAGAAAGACCGCAGGGGGAUCCUUGAACGUAUUGAUCUUUGUUUAGAUUCUGAAAAUCCAAGCUCAUCAUCCAUUUUUGACAGUGUCUUCUCAACUUCAUCCUUUAGACCGAUCACACGGUCCACACCUGCCUGAAGCUCACCUGCAACCUUCUUGUUUUCUUGUUUCAUGUUGAGAAUCUCACCUUGAAAUUUAGCUGCCUGAUAUACGCUUAGUUCAGGCUCUUCUGCUUUGGAAGUUUCACUCAUAACUCUUGAUAACUCUUCUUGAAUACUGCACAAAGAUGCAUAUCUGCCAUGCAGUUCUUCUUUGAAUACUGAAUUGGUCUCCAACCAUAAUGUUAAUUCUGUUUGUAUCUGUCUCAGGUGUCUGUAUAUCGGCCGAGCUUCUGAGAUGAGAGAUUUAUUUUUACCACUUCCAUCUUGGCUUUUGCUAUCUGUCAGCUUUGCUAGCUCCGUCUUUAAGUCUUGGACUGAAGUAUGGAACUUUUGUAUUUGAUGAAAUGAGGUGCUAAAUCUCAGCCAGAACUCCAAGUUUUCCUCCAGCAGUCCAUCAAUGUCCAAACGGAUUUUUUCUUCAAUAGCUGAAGCAAUGUGGAGUGUAUCAACACUUUUCAUCUUGAUCUCAUUUCUAAUCUCCUUCGGAUCGGACAUAUUAUUGCCUCCAAUUGCAGCUAAUUCAUGCAUUCUUCUUCUGGAUUCUAUGUGAUGUUCAUCUGCAGACUCAAAAAUUGGCUGAUGAGGAGAACUAAGGUUUGAGUGAUUAGAAUCCAGGAUGCUAGGUG